Molecule: long non-coding RNA, 1422 nt
Organism: Cyprinus carpio (common carp)
Lineage: Eukaryota; Metazoa; Chordata; Actinopteri; Cypriniformes; Cyprinidae
Exons: 4
Source: RefSeq, a predicted model, not a curated record
UAAAAUGUGCAUGAAAGUAUACUGUAGUCUUAAAUAUUAAGAUAUACAGGAAUGUACAAGAGGCGAAUGUGCAUAUGUGCAUUAAACUGUACAGUUUUAAGUACAAUUAAAAAAAAAAAUUCUCCACUGAAUCUCAUUGCUGUCUUAUAGAAACAGUUGAGAUCUCAUUUCUUGUGUUUCUUCCAGACUGCAACACAAUUGCCUCCGCAUACAAAUCAUCAAACCACACGAGCUCUGACUGGAGUGCCAACAGCUGUAAAUAUGCUGAAUGUUUCAGGCACAUAGCACGUUGUGAAACCACAAAAAAGGCUCUUUUUUAACCAGUGAGUGCUGUAUUUGGUUGCCAUGGAAACUUGUGAGAGAUAUUUUGAAGAAUGUGCAUGCUGGUGUUCUCCAUACAAUGAAGGUAAAUGGAGAUUGACACAGUUAAGAGCAGCAUUAACCUUCUACUGAAGAUUUUGUUCGUGUUCUACUGAAGAAAGAAAGUUUUGCAGGCUUGGAAUGACAUGAGGGUGGGUGAGGGGAGAUUUGGAAAACAGGUGCUCAAAAACACAUCUGAAUGGGAACGUCCACUCAGCUUGUGUGCUUGAGUGCUAGAUCACAUUGCAGUCAUGUGGGAGAGUCAUGUAUAUGUCCAUACAGUAAUUUAACAGGUGCUAUUUGUUUUAAAACUGUGUGAAUGGAUUAUCAUCCCUGAAGAACUUUAUAGGAUUGAACUAAUAUGACAGUUUAAUUAUCACUAUGCACCAGCCGCCGUAUGUGAAUUCAAGACACAUGGAAUGACCCCUUCACCUCUUCUUUACGAGAACAUAUAUAUCCAGACAACAUUCAUUUUCACUUAAACACACUCAUCUGAUUUAGAUCUGACACUGUACAGAAUCCUAGUGAAAACAGAUCACAGCAAUAAGACUCAAAUCUAAAGGACACAUUUUUUUGUGGUUGCUAAGUGACACCAAAAUUGGCUCCUAGCCUUCAGGUGAAUGGCGACAGAAAUUUAUUUUUGUUUUUAUUUCACUUGUUGUGUUGGGGAACACACUGUGGACAGAGACAUGUUUUUAUUGGAGGAUAUUUUAUCUAUUUAUUUAUUUAUGUAUUUAUUUUUCAGUGUGUCUCUUAUUCUCACCAAACUAGCAUGUAUUUGGUCAAAAAUACAUUAAAAACAGGAAUAUUGUGAAAUAUUAUUACAAUGUAAAAUAAUUAUUUGAAUGUUUUAUAUAUAAUUUAAAAUAUUGCUUAUUCCUGAAUUUUAAGAAGCCAUUACUCCCACUUUGAAGUGUUCUCCUGUCUCCCAUGAACAGAAAGUUCAAAAGAAUAGCAUUUAUUUGAAAUUUAUUUAUUUUUGUCACAAUAUAAAUGUUCUUACUGUCACAUUUGUUCAGUUUAAUGCAUGCUGGUUAAGUAGAAGUAAAAGUAUUCAAUUCU